Coregonus clupeaformis (lake whitefish) is the source of this 275-nucleotide long non-coding RNA. RefSeq lists it as uncharacterized. Lineage: Eukaryota; Metazoa; Chordata; Actinopteri; Salmoniformes; Salmonidae. The record is from RefSeq and is a predicted model, not a curated record. The transcript has 3 exons.
GUGUCUCCUGUGUUGGGGAGACAUCUGGGACUAUAGAUGGAACAUCAGUGACCCUACAGCAGACCACUGAUGCCACCAGAAGAAACAUCUUAACGCAACCCAAGCUCCAACCACUGAACAAUCCUCUUUCUCUCCAACUGCUGAGCCUGUUCAGACUGACAACACAGUCCAAGGACCUGAGGGGGGCAAGGAGAAGGACACCAUGAGUUCCAUAGAUCUAAAAGUCCUACUGAUUCCUCUGGGCAUGUUGGUGGUGGUGAUAUCUGGUGUCUUAG